GCUUACGGCCAUACCAGCCUGGGUACGCCCGAUCUCGUCUGAUCUCGGAAGCUAAGCAGGGUCGGGCCUGGUUAGUACUUGGAUGGGAGACCUCCUGGGAAUACCAGGUGCUGUAAGCA
This 119-nucleotide ribosomal RNA is filed under the name Salmo salar (Atlantic salmon). Lineage: Eukaryota; Metazoa; Chordata; Actinopteri; Salmoniformes; Salmonidae. The record is from RNAcentral.